This 279-nucleotide ribosomal RNA is filed under the name uncultured bacterium. RNAcentral's name for it is "partial 16S ribosomal RNA". It matches the Rfam family "Bacterial small subunit ribosomal RNA", at positions 506 to 784 of the family's 1533-position model. The record is from RNAcentral.
UGCCAGCAGCCGCGGUAAUACGUAGGGUGCACGCGUUAAUCGGAAUUACUGGGCGUAAAGCGCACGUAGGCGGAUUCGCAAGUCAGAUGUGAAAUCCCCGGGCUCAACCUGGGAACUGCACUUAAAACUGCUGGGCUAGAGGCCGAGAGAGGUGAGUGGAAUUCCCAGUGUAGAGGUGAAAUUCGUAGAUAUUGGGAAGAACACCAGUGGCGAAGGCGGCUCACUGGCUCGGAUCUGACGCUGAGGUGCGAAAGCGUGGGGAGCAAACAGGAUUAGAUA